RNAcentral lists this ribosomal RNA (500 nucleotides) under uncultured bacterium. Its description in RNAcentral is "partial 16S ribosomal RNA". It matches the Rfam family "Bacterial small subunit ribosomal RNA", at positions 30 to 523 of the family's 1533-position model. The record is from RNAcentral.
AUUGAACGCUGGCGGCAUGCUUUACACAUGCAAGUCGAACGGUAACAGGGUGCUUGCACCGCUGACGAGUGGCGAACAGGUGAGUAAUGCGUCGGAACGCGCCGAGUAGUGGGGGAUAACGCAGCGAAAGUUGUGCUAAUACCGCAUACGUACUGAGGUAGAAAGUGGGGGACCUUCGGGCCUCACGCUAUUCGAGCGGCCGACGUCUGAUUAGCUAGUAGGUGAGGUAAAGGCUCACCUAGGCGACGAUCAGUAGCGGGUCUGAGAGGAUGAUCCGCCACACUGGGACUGAGACACGGCCCAGACUCCUACGGGAGGCAGCAGUGGGGAAUUUUGGACAAUGGGCGAAAGCCUGAUCCAGCCAUGCCGCGUGUCUGAAGAAGGCCUUCGGGUUGUAAAGGACUUUUGUCAGGGAGGAAAUCCCUAGUGCUAAUAACACUGGGGGAUGACAGUACCUGAAGAAUAAGCACCGGCUAACUACGUGCCAACAGCCGCCGCCG